UAGUUCAGUGGCAGAACAUGUGCUCGGCAUGUACAAGGCCCUGGGUUCAAUCCCCAG
RNAcentral lists this transfer RNA (57 nucleotides) under Urocitellus parryii (Arctic ground squirrel). RNAcentral's name for it is "Spermophilus parryii (Arctic ground squirrel) tRNA". It matches the Rfam family "tRNA", at positions 8 to 63 of the family's 71-position model. Rfam says of the family: Transfer RNA (tRNA) molecules are approximately 80 nucleotides in length. RNAcentral also lists the same sequence under 1 other name. The record is from Rfam by way of RNAcentral. Lineage: Eukaryota; Metazoa; Chordata; Mammalia; Rodentia; Sciuridae.